GCAGAGCCUAGCGGGCAUGGACAGAAGAGAAACAUGAGUCAUUAUAGGAGAAACAUUAACCAGCAAAAACUGAGCUAGAAAUGAAAGACGGAGGAGUAGCAGAAAAACCAUAAAACAGCUAUUAUUAAUGCUGAAAAUUUGCCAACAAUGUAAAAGAAAACAUGCCUACAAUGAGAGAGAUGGAAGAUUUGAAAAGAUUCAUUUGGAACUUCCAAGGAUGAAAAAAUGCAGCAUUUCGAAGACAGUUGCCAAGACCUUGCACGCAAUCGAAUGACCGCCACGGUGUAGACCGUUUUUAACGAGCAUGCUGCUUUUGGUUCCUACACGUCACCUCCAUGCUCAGCCAGCACCUAAAGAAGCACUGAAACAGACACGUUUGGAUAUUGCAAAGAAACGCAUGGCACUUGCGGAAGUCACUUAUGCUACAGGGGCCAGUGAUUAAUAAUAUGGCCUCUGGGGCCUGAUCCGUGAGCUCAGGUGCCAACUGUGCUCCAAGUGGCUCUGACAUGUCACCCUUCUGAAUGUCAGGUGCUCGUUCCUUGCAGGGGACACUGCUCUCCAGCUCGCAGUGAGGAUGGAGCGAGGCCCUGUGUGCAGGGCCGUUACUGUUGGUGUCCUCCUGAGCAGCUCGUCCCUGUUGCACCCAGGUUUCCAGAGCACCCGUCUGACACGACAUGGAGAAAAUGGUCCAGCGCGUCCUCCUGCAUUCCUCAAUUCAGCCUAUGUGGGGAGUCAUCGCCUCGGAUCAUUGUUGCUCAAUCUACCGUGGCAUUCCAUCCAACUUAUAAUUCACUAUCACUUCUAAAUCUGUGCAACGAGUCUGCUUCAGACUUCCAUCUUCCCCAUGAAAAAUGUGCUUCUAUUUCCCGCUUAAGAGCUGUGUCCCAAGAGAAGUAACAAUUUGAUGACUUCGUCGCCUGGCUACUGAGUGAUCUGCAUUCCAGGAGAAAAAACACAGAACAAGUCAAUCCUUAUCACAUGGAAACAAUUCAGGUUUGCAGAAAACCAAACCACUGCUGUGACGAACGAGAUGUAGACACCAGAAGAAUGCCGCUUAUGUCCAAACGAAUGACUAAAGCCGUGGGAAUGAAGCUCUUCGUUAAGCCUCCUCAGAGUCGUUUUGUAGAAAACAGUUUUAAUAACCUUUGGUUGCUGUCAGUCAAUCUUGUUUUCUUGGCUGGGUGCUGUUUUAGGUUCACCUUGAUCCCAGAGUUACGGGUAGUUAAAUUCCCAUUUAAUGCUUAGUUAGCCUAACUCUUCCUGCUUACGCAUUAAUGAUCUUUAUAAGGAAAUUCUACCGUUCUAUCCACUCUGGAAUCCUGUGUUACCCAACCCCAAGAGAACUCUGAUUUGGCUAUCUUUUUGGAAUCAACUCCCAAAGGAACUUAAUACAGUGGUCUCAUGCCCAAAUGUAGUUUGGCUAUGAAUCACAGUGUAAAAGUCAGCAGGUAUAAGGGUUCCUGACUGUACCCACUCAGAGAUGGGAAGAGAGAAAUACUCAAAAAUAUCGGUGACUAUGUCAGAUAUUUAAAGAUGCCCAGGAAAGCUAAACAUAACAAAAUAUGCCAAUUCCUGAAUUUCCGGUGACAGUGGGUGGGGAGAGUUAAGGCCCGUGAGGUUUGCGUGAGGAAGUCCAGGCUGGUUUCUCUCUGCGGUAGAUGGUGGGUGUUAAAGGCGGGGCACCCGGUUAGCAUGCUCAGCACCUCACAGCUCGCUCCCUGCCACCUCGGUUUUGUCAUCACAGAAGCACAGGAGACAAAUAAAUGACUCGGGUAGCUUAACCCUUCGGACGAGGCCUCACAGGUGUGUUGUGAGGCUUGAGCCAAAUCUACGUCGGCAAACUAAACAAAAAGAUUGUUCAGUAGCUAGUGGCCACUGGAAUGUGGAUCAUACAAAUGUGGUAAUGGGAGAAAUCAGAAUCAACACACGUAAAGAAGCUCCACACGUAAAGCCAUAUGGUUUUUGAAGGACAGAAUUAUGUGACAUAAGCAGUGUUUUGUUGCAUGGGCUGCACACCCAGUCUCGUUUGUGUCCUCAGAGCCCCACAGAAACAGCUCUUCCAAAGGCCAUCUUCAUGUCACCAAGUCAAAGAGCCAUUUUUUGGUCCUCAUUCUUUUUUGAACUUCUAGCAGCAUUUAGUGCAAUGGACCACUUCCUCCUUCCUGAAAUACCUUCUUUCCACGGUCUCCACGACAUCCCCCUUUUCUGUUUUUCACUAAACCACACUGGAUGAUCUUCCUUAGAACUCUUUGCUGGGUCCUCUUUUUCCACACAAACCGUGAAUGCUGCCUUUCCACCAAGUUCGUAUCCAGGUUGAUGGCUUCGAUUACUGUGUAAUUCUCGGCACCUUCCCAUUUUGAUUUCUGGCUCUGACUCAAGUAUACAAGUGUUUAUUAGACAUUUCCACUUAGACGUUUUAAGGCAUCUUGAAUCCCACAUGCCACGGAUGAGGUUCUGGGUUUCCCUUGCCCCCUCGCCCCUGUGCCACCCACUGUGCCUAGUUCUGAACCCCUUUAAAGCCCCACAGCUCAAUGAGGGCUCCUGCAUCUAGCUGUCAUUACCAGAUGUUUGAGGAAACCUUGGCACUCAUCAACAAGGCAGACGCUGGCUGUCCCUCCAGAAAGACCUGUGAUCUAUCAACAGGACACUGUGCACUGAGGGAUAGGGACAAUCUGAUUUUCUGGGGGUGACUGGAUGAGAUCUCUGAAAGGACAUUAACCCUAGAGACACAAAUUAUCACCGUGGCCUGUUGGCCAAAAGGCGGCUUGAGGCAGCAGGUGAUAGGUAGAUUUGCAGCACAAGCCUUUUUCACAGGGGGUCCAGUUAGGCCAUGGGCUUAUCUUGUGGCUAUUGCUGAAGUCCUAGAGGCUUCAUAUAUUUGCUACCUGUCGGAAUCCCCCCGUGGGUCUUCUUAUCUUCAGAGUAAGGACUGUUAGGAAGAAGGGCCCAAAUGGCAGUUCCUGGAAAUGCCCUCAUCCUCAAAAUAGUAAAUCAGAUGAUCUGGAGGAAUAACAGAGAUUGUGUCUCCAUGGAGACGUCAUGAAGUAGAGGUGGGGAUUCCUGUUCCCCCUUCCCCCAUAUAACUUGUCUGUUUGCCUGGUGGAAAAGCCAGAUGGAUCUUGCAGAAUGACAUGGAUUAUAACAAACGUAAUCAGCAGUGAUGACAAUCGCAGCUGCUGUACCAGAUGUGGUAUCUUCCUUGGAAUAAAUCAACAUAGCCUCUGGCCACCGAUAUGUACCCUGCA
This is a long non-coding RNA of Pteropus alecto (black flying fox), 3245 nucleotides long. RefSeq lists it as uncharacterized. The transcript is spliced from 2 exons. The record is from RefSeq and is a predicted model, not a curated record. NCBI's taxonomy places the organism in Eukaryota, Metazoa, Chordata, Mammalia, Chiroptera, Pteropodidae.